ACGAACAGAAAGGACUGUCGCAUUCCCCUAUGCACGUCCUUUCAUCUUCUCUACACAUACACCUGUGCACCCUUUGUAGGCUCUCGAAAGAGUGGUCUACGUUCUAAACGUACCCUAUGUACUACUAUACACAUUUCAAAGGCCAGAAUGUCGAACCAAUUA
RNAcentral lists this unclassified non-coding RNA (162 nucleotides) under uncultured Boletaceae. RNAcentral's name for it is "sequence contains ITS1". Lineage: Eukaryota; Fungi; Basidiomycota; Agaricomycetes; Boletales; Boletaceae. The record is from RNAcentral.